Molecule: ribosomal RNA, 327 nt
Filed under: uncultured eukaryote
Lineage: Eukaryota
Description: partial 18S ribosomal RNA
Rfam family: Eukaryotic small subunit ribosomal RNA
Source: RNAcentral
CCCUUAGAUGUUCUGGGCCGCACGCGCGCUACACUGAUGCAUUCAACGAGUUUUUCCUGGUCCGAGAGGAAUGGGUAACCUUUUGAAAGUGCAUCGUGCUAGGGAUAGACUAUUGCAAUUAUUGGUCUUCAACGAGGAAUUCCUAGUAGACGUAGUUCAUCAGACUGCAUCGAUUACGUCCCUGCCCUUUGUACACACCGCCCGUCGCACCUACCGAUUGAAUGGUCCGGUGAAAUCUUCGGAUUGAGACUUUGAUUUCUUCACGGAAAACGCUGUUUUAAAAAGUUGAUUAAACCUUACCAUUUAGAGGAAGGUGAAGUCGUAACA